AUAAGGAGAGUUAAGCUGAGAAGC
Molecule: microRNA, 24 nt
Filed under: Cynara cardunculus (cardoon)
Lineage: Eukaryota; Viridiplantae; Streptophyta; Magnoliopsida; Asterales; Asteraceae
Description: cca-miR6108d
Source: miRBase by way of RNAcentral